AUGCAAAAGCAACAUCAGAAGAAUGCCUGUGUGCUCUGUCUUUGGUGUGAAAAGACAGUGUGUUUGUCCACAAAAAAAAAAAAAAAAAAAAAAGUUUAUUUUCUUAGCUUUUCUUUCUCUUUUUACGUCUCCUGUAGUUUCUCUCCCUGUUUUUCUGCCCUCAGCCCUGCCUGUUCUUUUCUGGAGGCUGGUUUCCACCAGGAGGUGCAAGUCGGCAUUACCCACACACCAAGCGUUUGGCUCUGCUCCACGUCCUGCGUGAGAGGGACCAUUAAAGAAGAACAGAGGGUGAAAUUCCACCCAAGUCAUUUUCGUUCUUCCAGCCCCAAAUUCCCACACUGCUCUGACAAGGAGAGUCCCCCAGACAGCCAUCCCACCUUGUCCUCAUGUUGCUGCUGGCUCCUCAGGCACAUGCUGCCUUCCUGGGAGAAUGCUGCAGCUCCUUCCCAAGCCCCCACGUGCUGUGUCUGCACCUCCAGCCAGACCAUCUUGGCUAGUGUCUGCGACAGGAAUGACAUCAGAAGCACUGAGUCAUGA
Molecule: long non-coding RNA, 537 nt
Filed under: Anas platyrhynchos platyrhynchos (common mallard)
Lineage: Eukaryota; Metazoa; Chordata; Aves; Anseriformes; Anatidae
Description: lncRNA (ENSAPLG00000017248.1)
Source: RNAcentral